RNAcentral lists this ribosomal RNA (532 nucleotides) under uncultured bacterium. Its description in RNAcentral is "bacterial SSU rRNA". It matches the Rfam family "Bacterial small subunit ribosomal RNA", at positions 15 to 518 of the family's 1533-position model. The record is from RNAcentral.
GAUCAUGGCUCAGAACGAACGCUGGCGGCGUGGAUUAGGCAUGCAAGUCGAACGGGACUUUAUGUUGUAGCAAUACUUUAUAAAGUCUAGUGGCGUAAGGGUGAGUAACACGUGGGUAAUGUACCCGAUAGUUUGGGAUAACGUUCCGAAAGGGACGCUAAUACCGGAUGUGAUGUUAGACCGCCGGGUUUAACAAGAAAGGUGGGGACCGCAAGGCCUGCCGCUAACGGAACGGCCCGCGACCUAUUAGCUAGUUGGUGGGGUAAAGGCCUACCAAGGCGAGGAUGGGUAGCCGAACUGAGAGGUUGACCGGCCACACUGGGACUGAGACACUGCCCAGACUUCUACGGAGGGCUGCAGUCGAGAAUCAUUCACAAUGGACGAAAGUCUGAUGAUGCGACGCCGCGUGCGCGAUGAAGGUCUUCGGAUUGUAAAGCGCUUUGAACAGGGAAGAAUGCCGCGUAUUUAAUAGAUAACGCGGAGGGACAGUACCUGACAAACAAGCCCCGGCUAAUUUCGUGCCAGCCGCGGC